Molecule: ribosomal RNA, 253 nt
Filed under: uncultured bacterium
Lineage: Bacteria
Description: partial 16S ribosomal RNA
Rfam family: Bacterial small subunit ribosomal RNA
Source: RNAcentral
UACGUAGGGGGCUAGCGUUGUCCGGAUUCAUUGGGCGUAAAGCGCGUGUAGGCGGCCAGGUAGGUCCGACGUGAAAACUGGAGGCUCAACCUCCAGCUGUCGUUGGAAACCAUCUGGCUAGAGUCCGGAAGAGGAGAGUGGAAUUCCUGGUGUAGCGGUGAAAUGCGCAGAUAUCAGGAAGAACACCAAUGGCGAAGGCAGCUCUCUGGGACGGUACUGACGCUGAGACGCGAAAGCGUGGGGAGCGAACAGG